This 468-nucleotide ribosomal RNA is filed under the name uncultured bacterium. Its description in RNAcentral is "partial 16S ribosomal RNA". It matches the Rfam family "Bacterial small subunit ribosomal RNA", at positions 28 to 507 of the family's 1533-position model. The record is from RNAcentral.
GACGAACGCUGGCGGCGUGCUUAACACAUGCAAGUCGAACGGAAAGGCCCUGCUUUUGUGGGGUGCUCGAGUGGCGAACGGGUGAGUAACACGUGAGUAACCUGCCCUUGACUUUGGGAUAACUUCAGGAAACUGGGGUUAAUACCGGAUAGGAGCUCCUGCUGCAUGGUGGGGGUUGGAAAGUUUCGGCGGUUGGGGAUGGACUCGCGGCUUAUCAGCUUGUUGGUGGGGUAGUGGCUUACCAAGGCUUUGACGGGUAGCCGGCAUGAGAGGGUGACCGGCGACAUUGGGACUGCGAUACGGCCCAGACUGCUACGGGAGACAACAGUGGGGAGUAUGGCACAAUGGGCGGAAGCCUGAUGCAGCAACGCUGGGUGCGGAAUGACGGCCUUUGGGUUGUAAACCGCUUUCGCCUGUGACGAAGCGGGAGUGACGGUAAUGGGUAAAGAAGCACCGGCUAACUACGUG